UUAAAAUGAGAGUUUGAUCCUGGCUCAGGAUGAACGCUGGCGGCGUGCCUAAUACAUGCAAGUCGAACGCUUUGUUUUUAAUUGAUCUGACGAGCUUGCUCUGAUGUGAUUUUAUCUGACAAAGAGUGGCGAACGGGUGAGUAACACGUGGGUAACCUACCUCUUAGCAGGGGAUAACAUUUGGAAA
This 187-nucleotide ribosomal RNA is filed under the name Weissella paramesenteroides. Its description in RNAcentral is "partial 16S ribosomal RNA". It matches the Rfam family "Bacterial small subunit ribosomal RNA", at positions 1 to 156 of the family's 1533-position model. The record is from RNAcentral. Lineage: Bacteria; Bacillati; Bacillota; Bacilli; Lactobacillales; Lactobacillaceae.